This 481-nucleotide ribosomal RNA is filed under the name uncultured bacterium. RNAcentral's name for it is "partial 16S ribosomal RNA". It matches the Rfam family "Bacterial small subunit ribosomal RNA", at positions 28 to 523 of the family's 1533-position model. The record is from RNAcentral.
GAUGAACGCUGGCGGCGUGCCUAACACAUGCAAGUCGAGCGAUGAAACCGCCUCCGGGCGGACAUGAAGCGGCGAACGGGUGAGUAACACGUGACCGACCUGCCCCCCGCCCAGGGACAGCCCCCCGAAAGGGGGAUUAAUACCUGGUACUCCGGCAAGGACGCAUGUCCUGGCCGGGAAAGCCUUGGCGGCGGGGGAUGGGGUCGCGGCCCAUCAGGUAGACGGCGGGGCAGAGGCCCACCGUGCCGACGACGGGUAGCCGGGUUGAGAGACCGACCGGCCACAUUGGGACUGAGAUACGGCCCAGACUCCUACGGGAGGCAGCAGUGGGGAAUUUUGCGCAAUGGGGGCAACCCUGACGCAGCAACGCCGCGUGCGGGACGAAGGCGUCCGCGUCGUAAACCGCUUUCAGCGGGGAACACUUCAACGAGGGUACCCGCAGAAGAAGCCCCGGCUAAAUACGUGCCAGCCGCCGCCGUAA